Long non-coding RNA from Rhagoletis zephyria (snowberry fruit fly), 835 nucleotides. RefSeq lists it as uncharacterized. NCBI's taxonomy places the organism in Eukaryota, Metazoa, Arthropoda, Insecta, Diptera, Tephritidae. The record is from RefSeq and is a predicted model, not a curated record.
UUCGAGUCAUUUACUCCCCAAUCGAGUUUCACUAGUCCGAACGCUGGCCGGUGACUAUGGCACCGCGCGCCAGAAUUCCCUCUCAGAUCGCCUAGCUUUUCCAUAUGGAUUUGCUUUGGCUCUCUUUUAUGUCGUUUCUUGCGGUUUUCAAAUUUCAGUCAGCGAUCUACUGUCUUGGGCUUCGGACGCGUAUCGUCGUUUUUGUCGUUGAAUACUAUCUGCAUACUAUAAAUAUCGUAACUGCCUAUAUAAUUUAUCGUUCGUUACAAAAAAAAAACCCAAAAAGCGUCUCGUCUUAUCUUUGUUGUCAAAAGUGUCGUCAUCAGUUUUUAUUGGUAUUUAGCUGUUCGUGCUUUUAGCUCUCCUCCUUAACACAACAGAGUUUAUUUAGUGCGGUUUGGUGUAAUUUGUGCUGAUUUGGAAGCUGGAAGCGAGUGUCUGCACCGUGGUGUGGUGUGGUGCUGUGUGCCUUAGCGUGAUUCGCGUAAUUAUUGUGCAACAUUCAAUUGGCGGCGUUGCGGCAACUAAACACCUGAUACGCUUGAAAUUCGCGGCGUAACGUGUUUUCUUAGAGCGCCUUGUUGUGUUGGUUUUUUGUCGGCUAUUUAAGUGCGUCAAGAAGUUGCCUUAAUUGGCUACGCAGCGGAUGAAAUAUACUAGAUAUCUUUUAGGGAACAGGCACAAAAAACAUACUGCAAUGCGACCGGCCAGAUUCUUUAAAUUCCUGAAUUAUCCUUUUCUAAUCGUAUGCCCUAUUUUAGUGAAAUGUAGUAAUUACCAAAAAGAAAAAUGAAUUUAAAGAAUAUGAGCCUGUAUAACAGUUAAGUGGCAUGUA